GGGAGACGAAGAAAAUAAAUACUAAGGAGCCAGAAAUAAUUCUCGGACCCAGCAUCGUAAAAAGACAGCUAGUGAGCUGCAAGAAAGGAAGUUGGUGAAGACGAUGUUUUAUGAACAGCUGCAACCCGGAGCCAAAAGCCCAAAACAUCAAGAGACAAAACCAAAAGAGAUCCGGCGAACAGAGACAAGAAGAAGCUGGAGGAGAAGAAUCAGACGACAGAAAAGCUCGAACCUCUCUCUCCAAAAGAUAUCUAGAUAAAAGAGAG
Molecule: long non-coding RNA, 266 nt
Filed under: Brassica napus (rape)
Lineage: Eukaryota; Viridiplantae; Streptophyta; Magnoliopsida; Brassicales; Brassicaceae
Description: long non-coding RNA (BNAP_LNC013788)
Source: RNAcentral